Molecule: small RNA, 118 nt
Filed under: Arabidopsis thaliana (thale cress)
Lineage: Eukaryota; Viridiplantae; Streptophyta; Magnoliopsida; Brassicales; Brassicaceae
Description: ATSL016510
Source: RNAcentral
AUUUGUAUUUCUCAUCAGAAUUCUGAACAACCAAGACUGAUUUCUUGAGUUGUUGUGAGGCUUAUACUUGUACGGAUUUGGCUUUCUCAGUUUUGUUCUCUCUUGUUUCCGUAUUUUG